CCAAUAGCGUAUAUUAAAGUUGUUGCAGUUAAAAAGCUCGUAGUUGAAUUUCGGGAUCAAUCUAUCGGUCGUGCAAUAGUACGUACUGAUUUUAUUGAUUCCUCCCUUCUGAUGAACUAUGAUGUCAUUAAUUUGGUGUUAUGGGGAAUCAGGACUGUUACUUUGAAAAAAUUAGAGUGUUUAAAGCAGGCUCACGCUUGAAUACAUUAGCAUGGAAUAAUGAAAUAGGACGUUUGAUUCUAUUUUGUUGGUUUCUAGGAUCGACGUAAUGAUUAAUAGGGAUAGUUGGGGGCAUUAGUAUUCAAUUGUCAGAGGUGAAAUUCUUGGAUUUAUUGAAGACUAACUACUGCGAAAGCAUUUGCCAAGGAUGUUUUCAUUAAUCAAGAACGAAAGUUAGGGGAUCGAAGACGAUCAGAUACCGUCGUAGUCUUAGCCAUAAACUAUGCCGACUAGGGAUCGGAUGAUGUUAAUUUUUUAAUGGCUCAUUCGGCGCCUUACG
RNAcentral lists this ribosomal RNA (499 nucleotides) under uncultured Glomeromycotina. RNAcentral describes it as "partial small subunit ribosomal RNA". It matches the Rfam family "Eukaryotic small subunit ribosomal RNA", at positions 591 to 1092 of the family's 1831-position model. Lineage: Eukaryota; Fungi; Glomeromycota. The record is from RNAcentral.